UACGUAGGGACCGAGCGUUGUCCGGAUUCAUUGGGCGUAAAGAGCUCGUAGGCGGCUGCUCAAGUCGAAUGUGAAAACUCGAGGCUCAACCUCGAGCCUGCAUUCGAUACUGGGCGGCUAGAGUCUGGUAGGGGGAUCUGGAAUUCCUGGUGUAGCGGUGGAAUGCGCAGAUAUCGAGAGGAACACCAGUGGCGAAGGCGAGUCCCUGGACAACACCUGACACUGAGGCACGAAAGCUAGGGGAGCAAACAGG
RNAcentral lists this ribosomal RNA (253 nucleotides) under uncultured bacterium. RNAcentral's name for it is "partial 16S ribosomal RNA". It matches the Rfam family "Bacterial small subunit ribosomal RNA", at positions 524 to 776 of the family's 1533-position model. The record is from RNAcentral.